CGGAGGGGCGUAGCGUUGUUCGGAAUUACUGGGCGUAAAGCGCACGUAGGCGGACCAGAAAGUUGGGGUGGAAAUCCCGGGGCUCAACCUCGGAACUGCCUUCAAAACUAUUGGUCUGGAGUUCGAGAGAGGUGAGUGGAAUUCCGAGUGUAGAGGUGAAAUUCGUAGAUAUUCGGAGGAACACCAGUGGCGAAGGCGGCUCACUGGGCUCGAUACUGACGCUGAGGUGCGAAAGCGUGGGGAGCAAACAGGAUU
RNAcentral lists this ribosomal RNA (255 nucleotides) under uncultured bacterium. RNAcentral describes it as "partial 16S ribosomal RNA". It matches the Rfam family "Bacterial small subunit ribosomal RNA", at positions 526 to 779 of the family's 1533-position model. The record is from RNAcentral.